Panicum virgatum (switchgrass) is the source of this 962-nucleotide long non-coding RNA. RefSeq lists it as uncharacterized. The transcript has 2 exons. The record is from RefSeq and is a predicted model, not a curated record. Lineage: Eukaryota; Viridiplantae; Streptophyta; Magnoliopsida; Poales; Poaceae.
UUGCUCAGCCCUCCGACUCUACUCACAUGCUCAUCUCCCUUACCCCCUCCGCCCAAACAGAUCCUGAUGCUCCAUGCUGUGGCCGUCGAGGGGUGCUCCAGCACAGCUGCACUAGCUAAUCACCCCUCUUCCUUCCGUGCCAUGGAUCCCAAGUUUGCCUCUUGCACCUCUCACGCCUUUCCUUCCCCAUGGUUUCUAGGCAGUACAUGGUAAGAUGCGGGCUUUAUCGUUUCUGGUGGGUUUGGUAAUCAAAUGCUGAGAUGCAGUAUCGUUGCUGCUAAAUUGUUUAUCCCCAGCGAUUUCAUCUUUGUGCGGGUGGGUAUUUCAGUGCAGUAUGUUUGGUUCAGUAGGUCUGUUCAUGCAAUUGGACGCUGAUAUAAUUUAGGCCUGAGCAAGUGCUGGUUCCUAACUUAGGUACAUGAGGUGGUACAUAUCCAGAAAGCUCGCAGCUGUAGCUUCAUAGGGUACGAAUGGCUACAAAUUUGAAGCAGGGAAAUACAUGGAAAUGGGAAAUGCCUAACGAAGGGCCUAAAGGAUGUAUGUGAACCAAUAGAAAGCCAAUGCCACGUUUGGAUCUGAUGUGCAGGAUGAGUGGCCUCUACAAACAGGGCAUCAUUAUUCAUUAUUCCAAUUGCUCUUCCAUAUGCUAACUAAUCAGUGUAAGUUUUUCUGAUCUACUACUAACACAAUUGACAAAUCCUUAUAUGACAACAUGCAUGGGUCCAUUGCCUUCUUUGCCUCAGUACCACCAUGCUUACUUCCAAUAUAUAAGCUUCAAAUCAAUGGUAGUAAAAAAAAAUAGAUUAAAGAAAUUCAUGUGCAGGCUUGCAGAAGUCUGCCUAUGUAUACAAUUUAUAAUUGGAUUUCAGUCUAAUCAAACUACUUUAUUAAGGUUGUACCUCCUUUUGAAUACUGGCUUAACUAUUGACCAGCUUCCACAUUUAUGUUAGCAUGUGUCCGAU